RNAcentral lists this unclassified non-coding RNA (200 nucleotides) under Clavulina sp. Its description in RNAcentral is "partial internal transcribed spacer 2". Lineage: Eukaryota; Fungi; Basidiomycota; Agaricomycetes; Cantharellales; Hydnaceae. The record is from RNAcentral.
UUAAGUUCAGCGGGUAGUCCCACCUGAUUCGAGGUCAAAGCUGAAAAGUGGAACACAGAUUGAAGAAUCUGCAAAACCAAGUUUGGAAGCAACCCAAAUGAGAACUGGCCAUCCCAAAAGAUGUCCUCAGCGAUCAGACUGUUAUCACGCUGAGCAGAACCAAUUCCACACCACAUGAGGAUCAGCUAAUGCUUUUAAGG